Crotalus tigris (Tiger rattlesnake) is the source of this 1190-nucleotide long non-coding RNA. RefSeq lists it as uncharacterized. The record is from RefSeq and is a predicted model, not a curated record. NCBI's taxonomy places the organism in Eukaryota, Metazoa, Chordata, Lepidosauria, Squamata, Viperidae. The transcript has 3 exons.
AUUAAGUAAUAUGGUAUACUUGUUAAUCCUUCUGGAAAGAGAAUUAUCAAAGUUUUCAAUACUUGAUCUGUUAUCUUUGGGCAAACUAUUGUUAUAUAAAUUAUAAUUGUAUUUCUUUUUCUUUUUCUUUUCUUUUCUUUUCUUUUCCUUAUAGGACUUAACAUAAAGGAGCUUGCCAGAUUAAUUCCAAGGUCCAUUUAGUUUAGAGCGCCUUCUCAUUAAUACAACAAACAAUAUAACCCAUGCAGGUAGUUCAAAUAUGGAUUUCUUCUUCUUUUAAAAGAAAAAUGAAAGAUGAUUGACAGUUUUUUCCUCUUGGGAAAGAUAGGCUUGGAUUAUUGGAUUCCUAGUGUUUUAGUUUUCCUUGGAUUCUUGAAUGUUUGCUGUGCUUUAGUUUCCCUUAGAUUUUUGAAUGUUUGCUGCGUCCUUUAUGUUUAUGCCACUGCCACUACAGUACUAAAUUGUCUUCAAGGUAAUAUUUCUUUUCUUAUUAUCUUCAGGUUUGUGUUCUCAGCAUAGCAUUGCACUGAUUUUCUUUUUACAUAAGCAUUUUUCUGUGUUUCAGGAAUAUUGGUAAUCUGGCUCCUAAAGUGGUAUAAGUACUACCAUACUUGUGAAUAAUCGUUUAAUCUCAAAACAGGAUUUAUCAAGCAGGAGUAAUAAGAUGUCCGAUUUAACCGCUGACCUGGAUCCUGACAAACAAAGCCUUGGAGAGAGGAAGGAAGACAUGUCACAUAAAGGACAUCUAACUAUGCAUCAAUUGCCUCGAGAGCAUCAAUGUACCACCUAAAAACUAAGGUUAUCAUAGAUGUUUCCCAGGGCACUGCUUAAUUAAAGAAUGAUUCCCAAUACUACUACAAAGCAUUUACCAGAUUCACACAACCAAUUUUAACAUGGCCUCUUCAGCACUUUGUCUUAAAGUCUGGAAGGAAAACUAUAAAGUAACUUACUUUGUUCCUGCUAUACAUUAAAUAAAAUUGAUGUUGGUAGAAAAGAUCAGUUUAACCCCAAACAAAUUCCUGCCUGCUGGAGCUAAAAUGAAACUCUAAGUACCUUAAUAAGGUUACUUAUGUAACACAAUAGUUGAAUAUAUGAAAAAGAGCUAAUAUUACAUAUAUGGAACAUAAUAUAAAACAUUAAUUAGUUCAAACCAAGUCUGAACUAUACAAUAUAUGCAAUAUGAUAUUGAA